GAUGAACGCUAGCGAUAGGCUUAACACAUGCAAGUCGAGGGGCAGCAUGGUCUUAGCUUGCUAAGACUGAUGGCGACCGGCGCACGGGUGCGUAACGCGUAUGCAACUUGCCUCACAGAGGGGGAUAACCCGUCGAAAGACGGACUAAUACCGCGUACACUUGGGAUAGGGCAUCCUGACCCAAGGAAAUGAACUUCGCUGUGAGAUAGGCAUGCGUCCCAUUAGCUAGUUGGUGAGGUAACGGCUCACCAAGGCGACGAUGGGUAGGGGAACUGAGAGGUUGAACCCCCACACUGGGACUGAGACACGGACCAGACUCCUACGGGAGGCAGCAGUGAGGAAUAUUGGUCAAUGGGCGAGAGCCUGAACCAGCCAAGUCGCGUGAAGGAUGACUGUCUUAUGGAUUGUAAACUUCUUUUAUACGGGAAUAACAAGAGCCACGUGUGGCUCCCUGCAUGUACCGUAUGAAUAAGCAUCGGCUAACUCCGUG
This 490-nucleotide ribosomal RNA is filed under the name uncultured bacterium. Its description in RNAcentral is "partial 16S ribosomal RNA". It matches the Rfam family "Bacterial small subunit ribosomal RNA", at positions 28 to 507 of the family's 1533-position model. The record is from RNAcentral.